UAGCUGGUGGUAGCAUGUAGUGUUGUGACUUCCAAUUUAUUCCAAGGAGAAUGGCAGUUUUCUUCUCUCCCUGUGGAAGAUCAAGAUCUUUUUUUAACUCUGUGGUGAAAAAUCUCAGUUCACUUAUAAUCCUCAGGCAGCAAAAAAUGCUUCUUCAGGAAAGGUUCCCCCCCUGGUCCACAUCAGCUCUGUGAUCCACCUUAUGACAUAGCGUACAAACAUUUGUGUCUGAACUUUCGGUUGGAGCAGCACACUCUGGUGUCAAAAGUAACUAGGCAGCAGGAGAGAAAAUGGGUCAAGUUAGUAAUUUACUGCUGAAGGAUUUUUUUUUUUCUCUGGGCCCAUAGUGAGCUGGAAGUGAAGAAGGUCUUAUGCAAAGUCCGAGCGUACAUAUUCAUGAAAACCUGUUUAUUGCAUGUUUGUUUAAUUUGUUUGAAUUGACUGAAUUAAAGGGCAAACGUGUGUCUGAAGAAACAAGGAAAAUAGGAUUGAAGGGAAUCUACUUUUU
Strigops habroptila (Kakapo) is the source of this 508-nucleotide long non-coding RNA. RefSeq lists it as uncharacterized. The transcript has 3 exons. The record is from RefSeq and is a predicted model, not a curated record. NCBI's taxonomy places the organism in Eukaryota, Metazoa, Chordata, Aves, Psittaciformes, Psittacidae.